Molecule: ribosomal RNA, 332 nt
Filed under: uncultured Syntrophaceae bacterium
Lineage: Bacteria; Pseudomonadati; Thermodesulfobacteriota; Syntrophia; Syntrophales; Syntrophaceae
Description: bacterial SSU rRNA
Rfam family: Bacterial small subunit ribosomal RNA
Source: RNAcentral
CUGUCGUCAGCUCGUGUCGUGAGAUGUUGGGUUAAGUCCCGCAACGAGCGCAACCCUUGUCUUUAAUUGCCAUCAUUCAGUUGGGCACUUUAAAGAGACUGCCGGUGUUAAGCCGGAGGAAGGUGGGAUGACGUCAAGUCCUCAUGGCCUUUAUGCCCAGGGCUACACACGUGCUACAAUGGGCGGUACAAAGAGAAGCAAUCUCGCGAGGGUGAGCAAAUCUCAAAAAGCCGUUCUCAGUUCAGAUUGUAGGCUGCAACCCGCCUGCAUGAAGAUGGAGUUGCUAGUAACCGCAGGUCAGCUAUACUGCGGUGAAUACGUUCCCGGGGCUU